GACGAACGCUGGCGGCGUGCCUAAUACAUGCAAGUUGAGCGCUGAAGGUUGGUACUUGUACCAACUGGAUGAGCAGCGAACGGGUGAGUAACGCGUGGGGAAUCUGCCUUUGAGCGGGGGACAACAUUUGGAAACGAAUGCUAAUACCGCAUAAAAACUUUAAACACAAGAUUUAAGUUUGAAAGAUGCAAUUACAUCACUCAAAGAUGAUCCCGCGUUGUAUUAGCUAGUUGGUGAGGUAAAGGCUCACCAAGGCGAUGAUACAUAGCCGACCUGAGAGGGUGAUCGGCCACAUUGGGACUGAGACACGGCCCAAACUCCUACGGGAGGCAGCAGUAGGGAAUCUUCGGCAAUAGACGAAAGUCUGACCGAGCAACGCCGCGUGAGUGAAGAAGGUUUUCGGAUCGUAAAACUCUGUUGGUAGAGAAGAACGUUGGUGAGAGUGGAAAGCUCAUCAAGUGACGGUAACUACCCAGAAAGGGACGGCUAACUACGUG
This 497-nucleotide ribosomal RNA is filed under the name uncultured bacterium. Its description in RNAcentral is "partial 16S ribosomal RNA". It matches the Rfam family "Bacterial small subunit ribosomal RNA", at positions 28 to 507 of the family's 1533-position model. The record is from RNAcentral.